RNAcentral lists this unclassified non-coding RNA (1465 nucleotides) under Hevea brasiliensis (rubber tree). The record is from RNAcentral. Lineage: Eukaryota; Viridiplantae; Streptophyta; Magnoliopsida; Malpighiales; Euphorbiaceae.
UAGUUGAAAUGUCGUCGUUAAAGAAAAAUGACUUAAAUAACGAUAGCGUCUUCUCAUAGCCUCUGAUUGAGUCAAUGUCUCCAACUGCAAGAUUGUUCCACGUACUCUGUGCGGAAGCAUAUCAUAGCUCCCAUAAUGGUGUAGAAGACACUUCAUGUUUAGAGGGUGAAGAAUGAGGUGCUGACCAUCAACAGCCUGGUAGAAAUUGUAUGAGGCAUUGUCCUUAACAUCUCUUUUCUGCAAAUUCUUGCUUCCAUCGUACGAGGAUGAUAAAAUUGCAUUUUCGCCCUCUGGUGAUGCAACCAAAUCCAAUUUCACAUUGUCAUACUGCUUAUUUUCAUCAUUGAUAUCAACAGAUUGUGUUGAAUAUCUAGAAGUAGCAUCUUCAUGAUAAGCACAAUUAGCAUUUGUGGUUAACAAAAACUCUUGAGAUUGUUUUCGACUGUUGGAACAUUUAUCAUUUCCACUAUUGUCACAUACUUGCUGCUCAUUCCAAUACUUCUUCCUCUGUUUUAAUUGUUCCAUUGCUGCACAAACAUAUGGAAGCUUCUCCAAGUCAUCCACAAGUCCUGAAUCAGCUCUAGCUAACCAACCAUCCAAAUCUGAUAUUGCUUGUCUCACUGACAGUUCUACAUCGGAAGUAAAUGUAAACUUUGAGAAGGGAUCAGAAACCCCAUCAUUGCAACUCAGCAUGGUAUCAAUCUCCAGCUUAUUUUUCUGAGAUGGAGUGGAUGAAUCCUUUUGCCGAGUUAGAAGCAUGAACUCUAUGGUAUCACCAACACAGUACUGCUUAACAUUCUCAAUAAAGAGGGUGUACAAAUCCUUUUGAGAUNNNNNNNNCAAAACAUAAAGGGCAUCUUUUAAAGCAAUCACCUUUGUGAUCCUCCUUGCCCAUUAGCAAAUACUGAAGAAUGCAGGGGAAACAAAAUAUGUGUCCACAUGAAGUUAUCUGUGGGCAUAAAGGAUAUUCCAAACAAAUAGGACACUGCACUGGACACGAGGUUGCAUAACUCACACAGAUUAUAUCCUCCCACCUAAGCAUUUUAUCAGGAUCCAUCAAUUCAGGUGCAUAAUUCCCUGUAUCUAACACAACAAACUUGUAAUUAGCCUGAAGGAAUAAAUCCUUGUUGUACGGUUUUAUCUUCUGCUGCCGUCGUGGAGGGGGGGCUCUUGAGUGAGGACGAAUAAUGGGGUCAUAGUGAAAAUUCAAUAAAUGGUUAGCGUUCAUCAUCUGGGCUCUUCUUCCUGAUGAAUGUGCACUGCCUCCUUGACUAUUGAUAGGACUAUUACUUUGUUGAACUUGAGGUGAGCCAACAGUCCCUGAUAUUUUCCCUUUGGGCUGAGCAGAUCCAACCCCUUGACCACCAAGGUGAGACUGCGCAUGUGUCUCACCAUUUUGCUGAGGCAAACUUCUCUUCCCAUUUGAUGUCCUUAAUUCAUUCACCUUUUUGGAAGAUCCACCAGA